This 460-nucleotide ribosomal RNA is filed under the name uncultured bacterium. Its description in RNAcentral is "partial 16S ribosomal RNA". It matches the Rfam family "Bacterial small subunit ribosomal RNA", at positions 338 to 795 of the family's 1533-position model. The record is from RNAcentral.
CCUACGGGAGGCUGCAGUGAGGAAUAUUGGUCAAUGGGCGUAAGCCUGAACCAGCCAAGUCGCGUGAGGGAUGAAGGUUCUAUGGAUCGUAAACCUCUUUUAUAAGGGAAUAAAGUGUGGGACGUGUCCUAUUUUGUAUGUACCUUAUGAAUAAGGAUCGGCUAACUCCGUGCCAGCAGCCGCGGUAAUACGGAGGAUCCGAGCGUUAUCCGGAUUUAUUGGGUUUAAAGGGUGCGUAGGCGGCCUUUUAAGUCAGCGGUGAAAGUCUGUGGCUCAACCAGGGAAUUGCCGUUGAAACUGGGAGGCUUGAGUAUGUGUGAGGCAGGCGGAAUGCGUGGUGUAGCGGUGAAAUGCUGAGAUAUCACGCAGAACCCCGAUGGCGAAGGCAGCCUGCCAGGCCAUGACUGACGCUGAUGCACGAAAGCGUGGGGAUCAAACAGGAUUAGAUACCCGAGUAGUC